RNAcentral lists this non-coding RNA (126 nucleotides) under Saimiri boliviensis boliviensis (Bolivian squirrel monkey). Its description in RNAcentral is "U4atac minor spliceosomal RNA (ENSSBOG00000010052.1)". It matches the Rfam family "U4atac minor spliceosomal RNA". Rfam says of the family: U4atac is an essential component of the minor U12-type spliceosome complex which is required for removal of the rarer class of eukaryotic introns (AT-AC, U12-type). These interacting stem loops have been shown to be required for in vivo splicing. U4atac also contains an 3' Sm protein binding site which has been shown to be essential for splicing activity. Lineage: Eukaryota; Metazoa; Chordata; Mammalia; Primates; Cebidae. The record is from Rfam by way of RNAcentral.
AGCAUCGUUUUCUUGGGGCUGCGCUGCUGUCCAAUGAGCGCCUGGUAAGGGCGGGACUGCCGGCGCCUAAACAACACACCCGCGUCGACUAGAGCUUUGCUUUACCUUGGUGCAGCUUUUACCCAC